CUAUGCUAGACGGGGAGUUAGCGGUGCCUUGUAACCUGCAAUCCGCUUUAGCAGGGUUGAAUUCCAUACAGAGGGGCAUCUUGGUUGUUAUGCCGGAAGAGAAUUAUGUUGAUUCGUUGGUCCCAUGCAAUAGGAGCUUAUGAACCUUGUCAGGUCUGGAAGGAAGCAGCAAUAAGUAAUGUCUUCUGUGUGUUGUGGGAGUGCUGAUGAUGAGUAGUUUUUUACGAAACAGACAAUUGAAACACUUCGAAGUAUGGUGCAUAG
This is a non-coding RNA of Filifactor alocis ATCC 35896, 264 nucleotides long. It matches the Rfam family "Bacterial large signal recognition particle RNA". Rfam says of the family: The signal recognition particle (SRP) is a universally conserved ribonucleoprotein involved in the co-translational targeting of proteins to membranes. Archaeal SRP consists of a 7S RNA and homologues of the eukaryotic SRP19 and SRP54 proteins. The record is from Rfam. Lineage: Bacteria; Bacillati; Bacillota; Clostridia; Peptostreptococcales; Filifactoraceae.